This 801-nucleotide ribosomal RNA is filed under the name uncultured bacterium. RNAcentral's name for it is "bacterial SSU rRNA". It matches the Rfam family "Bacterial small subunit ribosomal RNA", at positions 88 to 908 of the family's 1533-position model. The record is from RNAcentral.
CAGCUAAGUGGCGCACGGGUGAGUAAUGUAUAGAUAACCUGCCCUUAAGAAAGGAAUAACAGUUGGAAACGACUGCUAAUGCCCUAUAUGCCUUUAAUACAUAAGUAUGCAAGGGAAACGCUUUGGUGCUUAAGGAUGGGUCUGUAUGGUAUCAGCUUGUUGGUGAGGUAAUGGCUCACCAAGGCUAUGACGCCUAACUGGUUUGAGAGGAUGAUCAGUCACACUGGAACUGAGACACGGUCCAGACUCCUACGGGAGGCAGCAGUGGGGAAUAUUGCACAAUGGACGAAAGUCUGAUGCAGCAACGCCGCGUGGAGGAUGACACAUUUCGGUGCGUAAACUCCUUUUAUAUAGGAAGAUAAUGACGGUACUAUAUGAAUAAGCACCGGCUAACUCCGUGCCAGCAGCCGCGGUAAUACGGAGGGUGCAAGCGUUACUCGGAAUCACUGGGCGUAAAGAGCGUGUAGGCGGGUAUAUAAGUCAGAAGUGAAAUCCAAUAGCUCAACUAUUGAACUGCUUUUGAAACUGUAUACCUAGAAUGUGGGAGAGGUAGAUGGAAUUUCUGGUGUAGGGGUAAAAUCCGUAGAGAUCAGAAGGAAUACCGAUUGCGAAGGCGAUCUACUGGAACAUUAUUGACGCUGAGACGCGAAAGCGUGGGGAGCAAACAGGAUUAGAUACCCUGGUAGUCCACGCCCUAAACGAUGUACACUAGUUGUUGUGAGGCUCGACCUUGCAGUAAUGCAGUUAACACAUUAAGUGUACCGCCUGGGGAGUACGGUCGCAAGAUUAAAACUCAAAGGA